GUGAGAUGGUCUACACCUGGUUUCAUCAUUGGUACACCUGUGUCUUACCACGAUCUUUGUGUCCCGUCCAAUCAUCUCUCUCCGUCCAUCCGUGCCUGGUCAAGCCCUCAUGUGUAUAGAACCUUGCCUGGAAUGAACCAAUCCGUCACGGUGGGGUCGCAUUUUACUGCGUGGAUCGUUCUCCCAGGAUGCUGACGGAACUCCGAAGGCAAGGUGCAGGUGUGUUGACGCCAGUCUCUGAGGGGAGUCGACGUCAGCUGCGUGGAUGGCGCCAGCUCAGCUGAUCUCCGGUAGGAGGCGACUUUUUACCACAAUUUUCUCACCGAAACCUGAUGGUUGACAAGUGGUCGGGAACCAUGUUCGCUUGACCACUCUGAUCCAUAG
Nerophis ophidion (straightnose pipefish) is the source of this 384-nucleotide long non-coding RNA. RefSeq lists it as uncharacterized. The record is from RefSeq and is a predicted model, not a curated record. The transcript is spliced from 3 exons. NCBI's taxonomy places the organism in Eukaryota, Metazoa, Chordata, Actinopteri, Syngnathiformes, Syngnathidae.